This 254-nucleotide ribosomal RNA is filed under the name uncultured bacterium. RNAcentral describes it as "partial 16S ribosomal RNA". It matches the Rfam family "Bacterial small subunit ribosomal RNA", at positions 524 to 776 of the family's 1533-position model. RNAcentral also lists the same sequence under 1 other name. The record is from RNAcentral.
GACGUAGGGUCCAAGCGUUGUCCGGAUUUACUGGGCGUAAAGAGCGCGUAGGCGGUCUGUUAAGUGAGAAGUGAAAUCUCCAGGGCUCAACCCGGAAACUGCUUUUCAUACUGGCAGACUUGAGGGAUGCAGAGGUGAAUGGAAUUCCUGGUGUAGCGGUGAAAUGCGUUGAUAUCAGGAGGAACACCCAUGGCGAAGGCAGUUCACUGGGCAUCAUCUGACGCUGAGGCGCGAAAGCGUGGGUAGCAAACAGG